This 645-nucleotide ribosomal RNA is filed under the name Parmotrema endosulphureum. Its description in RNAcentral is "SSU rRNA". It matches the Rfam family "Bacterial small subunit ribosomal RNA", at positions 423 to 1080 of the family's 1533-position model. Lineage: Eukaryota; Fungi; Ascomycota; Lecanoromycetes; Lecanorales; Parmeliaceae. The record is from RNAcentral.
UGGUACUCAUCUUGACAGGGGUAGGGGCUAGAGACGUAAUGCUUAGGACAUUGACUGCCUAUGUGUCUUGACCGGGUUACGUGCCUAAGUCAAGGUCAUACGUAAAAGACUACUGUUAUUCAUGUUUAAUCGGUUUAUAGGGUACCUAGACUGUGAAUCAAGCUUUUAAAUAAAUAAGAAAAGGGACUAAUUCGCUAGAGUUACUUACGAGGGGGUUUUAAAGUACUGCUGGUGUAAAGAUGAAAUUCUGUCAUACCUCUUUUCGAAAGAAGAAUAACGGCACAGGUAUAGGCGAAGGCAUCCCCUUAUGUGAUAACUGACGUUGAGGGACGAAGGCUUCGUGGAACAAACAGGAUUAGGUACCCUAGUAGUUGAAGCAGAAAAUGAUGAAUGUCAUAGAUUAGACGUUUAAGUUUAUUCUAUAAAUGAAAGUGUAAGCAUUCCACCUCCGGAGUAAUUUGGCAACAUUGGAAUUGAAAUCAUUAGACCGUUUCUGAAACCAGUAGUGAAGUAUGUUGUUUAAUUUGAUAAUCCGCAAAAAACCUUACCCCAAUUUGAAUAUUUAUACCGAACAAAUAUCUACAAGCGUUGCACGGCUGUCUUCAGUUAAUUUCUCGAGACUCCGUAGCUUUCUGGAAUCUUGGU